AUGACAUCCCGCGGGUCAGUGCCAUGGUGUGCAGCAAAGGCCAAGCUCUGCCCUUCUGCCUCUGUGGAGACGGGGAGGUUGGUCACCGGCUCCUCACUGCUGAGACGGAGGGAGGGCCCUCGAGCCAGGCUGGGGGGCACCUUGGCAGCAGGAUGGGCUUCGGUGUGGAAGCAUCUUCCCAGUGCCCAGCAUGGAGCUCGGGCUGAAGGCAGCAGCGUGUGGGAAGAAGGGACCUUUGCCCAUCUGUGGCACUGGGGAGUCUGGAGGGGAUGGGAAAGCAAACAGGGAAGCAGCAGAUGCUCUGCAGCACAGGGAGGGCUUAAGAGCCUGACUUCGGGCAGAGUCCUCUGCAAACUGUUGGGAAGCAGCAGGAAAUUCUGCCAGCGGUUCCCUGGGAAGCUCCUUUGGAAGCUCUGGCCAUGCUCCUUGUGCAUCCCAUUGAAUGCCUUUCUCUUCCAGAUGGCAUCAGCAGGACCUGUGCAUGAGCUCCCGUCUCUGGGGAACUCACUGGUUUGGCUGGAGGGGAAGAGGCAGGAGCUGAACGUGAAAACUACUCAGGUGUCAGCCAGGAAGGACUUCAUUCUCCAAUCAGUGUUUGAUGUCCUCAAAGAGAAUGGGGUCCACGGAUUGAAGAGAGAGGUGCCACUGUUGAUGCAGAGAGGACAUCCAAGAGCUUUGGUGGGAAAGGCUGGAAGAACCAUUGGCUUUCUCCACUCUUUUCCACCACAAAGCCUCCCAAGACACUCUUGCAGCCCAAUAUUUCUCCUGGCAACUGCUGGGCUUUCCAAGGAUCUCAGGGCCACGUGGUCAUCCAGUUGCCGGAGAAAAUCCGUCCCAUGGCGUUCACCAUCUGGCACAUCUCCAAGGCGGUCUCUCCCUCAGGGGAAGUCAGCAGUGCCCCCAAAGACUUUGCUGUCUUGCCUGCCUAAGUGUGACCGCUGUCAUCUCUUGUCUUUGAGGGAGUGGAUGAGGCCGAAGGUGAAACUCUCCUGGGGUUAUUUGUUUAUGACGUGUACAGAGAGAUCGCCCAGACCUUCCACAUGCAGGAGGAGCCCUGCAAAGCCUUUGGCCGUGUCAAAUUGGAGGUGCGGAGCAAUUGGAGAAAUGCAGAACACACCUGCGUGUACUGAGUGGAAAUUCACGGAACUUGAUAAAAGACAGCAGAGAUUUUUAGAAGGGAAUAAUUAAAAUAAAAUGUUGAUGGCUUUCUGCCCGUGUUGAGGU
Molecule: long non-coding RNA, 1224 nt
Filed under: Phasianus colchicus (ring-necked pheasant)
Lineage: Eukaryota; Metazoa; Chordata; Aves; Galliformes; Phasianidae
Description: lncRNA (ENSPCLG00000014135.1)
Source: RNAcentral